UGUUCACAUUGAGUCCUAGAACAUCCCCAAAUUUUCCCAGAAUAUUUGAACAUUAGGGGGCGCUGUAGUGAUUCUGUGUAUUUUUGGCCAUUUCCUUCAAUUUUUGCAUUUACAAACGAACGAACUCCUCCGAGAGUUUAAAUCCGAUCCAUUUAAAAAUCUGGCAACUGGUUCCUGACACCCUUGGGGUCAAAAGUUAUUAAAAUCAAGAGUUUUCAUAAAACUACCUGGGCGUGAGCGUGCGUGCAGUUUGGACAAUUUUGGAAGAUUUUUUUCCAGAACGGAAAAUGGUAUAACUCCAAGGAACAUUGAUAUUUCUGGCUAGAAAUGUAUAUUCAUGAUGCUUGUCUAGGCCUUUAAGUAAUGCCAUGCAGUGAUUUUCGAAAAAGUAUAGCGCCACCUAUUGGCUUAGGUCAAUGCAAAGUUUCUACAUUUACAUGUCCAUUUCCUAGCCCUUUAAUGUGAUCAACUUCAAAUCUGGGAAUAUAAGACGUAAGACGGUGACGAUGGCUCACAGUGAGAAUUGGGAGUUUUGGACCAACUUUGUUGCUGUGACGACGUCAUCUUUGCAUGAAAGUUCAAGCACAUCUUCUGAGCCUCGGCACACUCCAAAACUCUUGAAAACCUCUGUGAGUAUCCUAUUUGAUGACCUUUACAGACCUGAUGUGGAGUUUUGGAUCAAAAGUGAAGAAUUGACUCCAUUGCGCCCCCUGGAAGAUUUUGACGAAGCGGCGCCGCCAUCCUGUUUAAUCUACAAGUCUGCUGAUUUUUUACCAUAUGUAUUAAAGGGAGACUUAAAAAAGUCUCUGAGGAAUUUUCUCUAAAACAAACAGGAAGGCAGUUAUAAUUUUUUUAGUCUGACAAUUCCCGGUAUUUUUGCAGGGGAGUGACGAAUCCUAUAUCAGUGACAUUUCGACUUCUCAAACCCAUCAGAAAACAUAGCUCUUUCGUUAAGCGUUCGCCCCCCGAUGCUAUGGUCGUGAGAUCGAGUCCCGACGAAAUCAUACUUUUUUUUUUUUGUUUCUGCUUUUUUUAAACGCGUGUCCGGCUGAUCUAACGGACAAAAUGAUUCAGGUAACUCUCCUUGCUGAGGUUAAAUAACUGUACACGUUAGAGCAGCUGUGUCACACUCGUUUCAGCCACAUACGGCUGCUGGGCACAGAUGCCGUAUGUGGAGCUGCUGGGAGACGUCAGUGAGCUGGCGUUUGCAGUCGGGUGGCGGACUGCUCUGGACGUUCUGCAGUUUGACACAUCUAACCUAGACAUAUAACACGGACAGUUCAAUCUAAAUACAUCUGGAUUUAAAUAGACGUAUUCUGCAACAUACGGGUGGAGAUGCAAACACGUUUUGUGAUGUUACUAGAUGUUCCGGGUUACUGUUAAUUUAAAGAACUUCAUCACCCAGCGUUCCCUAGUCUGUGUUGAAGGACAUGCGCAGAGCAGCGCGCGGCAGACCCCGGGGGUAGCAUUACAGUGGACUGUGCUAGUUUAGCAAAGUAUAGCUCGUGGAGUGCUAGGCGGGGUCUCCUCGCUAGCUAGUGAAGUGUUUAGCUAACUUUAGAAACGUUAUUAGCUCGUCACCAACGCCGAAGGCUUCACCGCGAACGCAAACGGCAGCCAGCCGCCUUGCCUCUACAGCCAGUGAUGUGCCCGGAGCUCAACGGCUUUCUCCCCCCUCUCUCUCCCACGCCACUAACAGACGUUUAACGGGCAGAACCGUGAGCUGCGAGUGGACAUAAUACUGAGGACGCAGUGUGAACAACAUUGGACAUUAUUGUAUACAAGGAUCUCUUCGUUAUGGGUAGUCUUGAAUGAUGUUAUUUCAUGUUUUCCUGCAUUCAGUUAAGAGCAACAGUGUUAAGCUUGGCCUGUCGUUUGCCGCAUCCAUGGCUCUAUGUUGCUAAUGACUGUCACACACAUUGGAAUGCAUGGAUGUUGUUACGGGGGAUUUAUCUGUUGUGUUCUGGUUAAUGAGUUAGAAUAACUCUCAAUUGAGCAGGACCGGUGUGCCCCUGUUAAAGCUUUAACUUAAUGUAUUUCUGUUCAAAGUAAGCUCUAUUCAGGUUAUGGACUUUAAUAACACUCCUCAUGUAACUUUACAUGUCUUUAAUGAAUACAGGAUGUAAUAUUUGUUCAGUAUGCAGGGGCAGUAUAUUUCAUUUGUCAUGUUGUACAUAUUUUGUUUUUUUACAUGAGAAUAUGCUUCGGUACAUGCUGAGUUAAUGAAUAUACAUUCUAAAGUGCAAUGUUCAUAUGUGAAUAAGAGUUGUAUACGUUUUAUGAUAGUCAAUAUGGUGUGGAAAUGUCUCAUGUAGUUGGUCAAUUGGAACUAUAUUAGGCAGUAAUAACAGCUAUGGUUUUUAUCUUAAAACAAAAAAGGAUAACUCUGUUGGACAACUACUCAAUUGUCUUGACGACAUAUAGGCCUGGAUGGCUUGGAACUUUUUUAAUUUUAAUGACUUGGGUCAAUGCAAAGUUUCUACAUGGCUUAACUGAUUCAAACUGAACUUACCAAUAUAUUAAGCCCUGGAGGAAGAGCGUAUCUUAGUCAAUGUAUUAUUAAUUAUUUCAUUCAGCAAAGCUCUCUUCAGGAAGACAGCCACGUCGUCAUCCAGCGGGUUUGGUUAAAAAGUUAACAUAUCUUGAUGGAGCAAAAGAGGUGGGGUUAGCUGUCGUCCUUGUACCUCGACUAAACCAAGGUGUGAAUUAACCUUGAUUGAGACUGCGUCUAUAAGAUAUACAGGACAAGAAAAAUGCACUGGAUGUAAACUGUACGCGUGUUGAAUCAAUUAUACGGACGCAAACUGGAGAACGAGA
Pungitius pungitius (ninespine stickleback) is the source of this 2817-nucleotide long non-coding RNA. RefSeq lists it as uncharacterized. The record is from RefSeq and is a predicted model, not a curated record. The transcript has 2 exons. NCBI's taxonomy places the organism in Eukaryota, Metazoa, Chordata, Actinopteri, Perciformes, Gasterosteidae.